Molecule: ribosomal RNA, 406 nt
Filed under: uncultured bacterium
Lineage: Bacteria
Description: partial 16S ribosomal RNA
Rfam family: Bacterial small subunit ribosomal RNA
Source: RNAcentral
AAUAUUGCGCAAUGGAGGGAACUCUGACGCAGCGACGCCGCGUGUGCGAUGUAGGCUUUCGGAGCGUAAAACUCUGUCCUUGGGGAAGAAGGUCUUCGGUCUUGACGGUACCUAAUGAGGAAGCCCCGGCCAACUCCGUGCCACCAGCCGCGGUAAUACGUAGGGGGAAAGCGUUGUGCGGAAUUAUUGGGCGUAAAGGGGGUGUAGGAGGCCUUUUAAGUCAGGUGUGAAAGCCCACGGCUUAACCGUGGGGUUGCGUUUGAAACUGGAAGGCUUGAGUAUCGGAGAGGGUAGUAGAAUUCCCAUUGUAGCGGUGGAAUGCGUAGAUAUUGGGAGGAACACCAGUGGCGAAGGCGACUACCUGGACGAAAACUGACGCUGAGGCACGAAAGCUAGGGGAGCAAAC